Molecule: ribosomal RNA, 187 nt
Filed under: uncultured rumen bacterium
Lineage: Bacteria
Description: partial 16S ribosomal RNA
Rfam family: Bacterial small subunit ribosomal RNA
Source: RNAcentral
UACGGGAGGCAGCAGUGAGGAAUAUUGGUCAAUGGACGAGAGUCUGAACCAGCCAAGUAGCGUGCAGGAUGACGGCCCUAUGGGUUGUAAACUGCUUUUAUCAGGGGAUAAAGUGCGGCACGCGUGCCGUUUUGUAGGUACCUGAUGAAUAAGGACCGGCUAAUUCCGUGCCAGCAGCCGCGGUAAU